RNAcentral lists this ribosomal RNA (344 nucleotides) under uncultured fungus. RNAcentral describes it as "bacterial SSU rRNA". It matches the Rfam family "Eukaryotic small subunit ribosomal RNA", at positions 21 to 370 of the family's 1831-position model. Lineage: Eukaryota; Fungi. The record is from RNAcentral.
UGUAGUCAUAUGCUUGUCUCAAAGAUUAAGCCAUGCAUGUCUAAGUAUAAGCAAUUAUACCGUGAAACUGCGAAUGGCUCAUUAAAUCAGUUAUCGUUUAUUCGAUGGUCCUCUACUUGGAUAACCGUGGUAAUUCUAGAGCUAAUACAUGCGAAAAACCCCGACUCUCGAAGGGGUGUAUUUAUUAGAUAAAAAACCAAUGCCCUUCGGGGCUCCGUGGUGAUUCAUAAUAACUCAACGUAGCGCAUGGCCUUGCGCCGGCGCAAGAUCGUUCAAAUACCUGCCCUAUCAAGUUUCGAUGUGAGGGUAGUGUCCUCAUAUGCUCGCAACGGGUAACGGGGAAU